Molecule: ribosomal RNA, 460 nt
Filed under: uncultured bacterium
Lineage: Bacteria
Description: SSU rRNA
Rfam family: Bacterial small subunit ribosomal RNA
Source: RNAcentral
AGAAUCAACGCUGGCGGCGUGCCUAACACAUGCAAGUCGAACGAGAAAGGGUAGCAAUACCUGAGUAAAGUGGCGCACGGGUGAGUAACACGUGACUAACCUACCCUGGAGUGGGGGAUAACUGAGGGAAACCUUAGCUAAUACCGCAUAAUACCUACGGGUCAAAGGAGCAAUUCGCUUCAGGAGGGGGUCGCGGCCGAUUAGUUAGUUGGUGGGGUAAUGGCCCGCCAAGACGAUGAUCGGUAUCCGGCCUGAGAGGGCGCACGGACACACUGGAACUGAAACACGGUCCAGACUCCUACGGGAGGCAGCAGUGGGGAAUUUUGCGCAAUGGGGGAAACCCUGACGCAGCAACGCCGCGUGGAGGAUGAAGUCCUUCGGGACGUAAACUCCUUUCGAUCGGGACGAUUAUGACGGUACCGGAAGAAGAAGCCCCGGCUAACUUCGCGCCAGCAGCCGC